GAUGAACGCUGGCGGCGUGCUUAACACAUGCAAGUCGAGCGGACAAGCGCGUUCCUUGCUGCUCUGUCGUGAGGAGCGGCGGGCUGAGUAACAACACGUUAACCUCCCUCUCCGACUGUCAUGACUACCGCAAACCGGAGUUACUAACGGGUGAUAUUUUGAACCGCUUGGUUCAUUAGUGUGAGAAGGUUUUGCUUUCGCUUAUGGAUGGGUCCGCGCCGCAUUAGCUAGUUGGUAGGGUGAUGGCUUACCAAGGCGACGAUGCGUAGCCGACCUGAGAGGAGGAUCGGCCACAAUGGAACGGAUACGCGGCCCAGACGCCUACGGCAGGCAGCAGUAGGGAAGCUUCCGCAAUGGGCGAAAGCCGGAUGGAGCAACGCCGCGGGAUGGAUGAAGGUCUUCGGAUCGUAGAACUCUGUUAUUGGGAGAGAACAAGGGCCGAAUUAUUUAUGGGCGUCUUGACGGUACCUAAACAAGAAGCCACGGCUAACUACGUG
This 497-nucleotide ribosomal RNA is filed under the name uncultured bacterium. RNAcentral describes it as "partial 16S ribosomal RNA". It matches the Rfam family "Bacterial small subunit ribosomal RNA", at positions 28 to 507 of the family's 1533-position model. The record is from RNAcentral.